CAGCAGCCACGGGAAUACGGAGGGCGCGAGCGUUACCCGGAUUUACUGGGCGUAAAGGGCGUGUAGGCGGCCUGGGGCGUCCCAUGUGAAAGGCCACGGCUCAACCGUGGAGGAGCGUGGGAUACGCUCAGGCUAGAGGGUGGGAGAGGGUGGUGGAAUUCCCGGAGUAGCGGUGAAAUGCGCAGAUACCGGGAGGAACGCCGAUGGCGAAGGCAGCCACCUGGUCCACUUCUGACGCUGAGGCGCGAAAGCGUGGGGAGCGAACCGGAUUAGAUACCCCUGUAGUCCCUGUCUCUUAUAC
RNAcentral lists this ribosomal RNA (301 nucleotides) under uncultured bacterium. RNAcentral's name for it is "partial 16S ribosomal RNA". It matches the Rfam family "Bacterial small subunit ribosomal RNA", at positions 509 to 807 of the family's 1533-position model. The record is from RNAcentral.